UUUAUUUGAUAGUACCUUACUACUUGGAUAACCGUGGUAAUUCUAGAGCUAAUACAUGCUAAAAACCCCGACUUCCGGAGGGGUGUAUUUAUUAGAUAAAAAACCAAUGCCCUUCGGGGCUCCUUGGUGAUUCAUAAUAACUUUACGAAUCGCAUGGCCUUGCGCCGGCGAUGGUUCAUUCAAAUUUCUGCCCUAUCAACUUUCGAUGGUAGGGUAUUGGCCUACCAUGGUUUCAACGGGUAACGGGGAAUUAGGGUUCGAUUCCGGAGAGGGAGCCUGAGAAACGGCUACCACAUCCAAGGAAGGCAGCAGGCGCGCAAAUUACCCAAUCCCGACACGGGGAGGUAGUGACAAUAAAUACUGAUACAGGGCUCUUUUGGGUCUUGUAAUUGGAAUGAGUACAAUUUAAAUCCCUUAACGAGGAACAAUUGGAGGGCAAGUCUGGUGCCAGCAGCCGCGGUAAUUCCAGCUCCAAUAGCGUAUAUUAAAGUUGUUGCAGUUAAAAAGCUCGUAGUUGAACCUUGGGCCUGGCUGGCCGGUCCGCCUCACCGCGUGCACUGGUUCGGCCGGGCCUUUCCUUCUGGGGAACCCCAUGCCCUUCACUGGGCGUGUCGGGGAACCAGGACUUUUACUU
RNAcentral lists this ribosomal RNA (634 nucleotides) under Placynthium nigrum. RNAcentral's name for it is "SSU rRNA". It matches the Rfam family "Eukaryotic small subunit ribosomal RNA", at positions 116 to 757 of the family's 1831-position model. Lineage: Eukaryota; Fungi; Ascomycota; Lecanoromycetes; Peltigerales; Placynthiaceae. The record is from RNAcentral.